This is a long non-coding RNA of Mesocricetus auratus (golden hamster), 765 nucleotides long. RefSeq lists it as uncharacterized. The transcript is spliced from 3 exons. The record is from RefSeq and is a predicted model, not a curated record. NCBI's taxonomy places the organism in Eukaryota, Metazoa, Chordata, Mammalia, Rodentia, Cricetidae.
CUUUUCCAGAAUCUGCUGUUUGUGCAAAGCCUAGCCAAGGGCCACUUUUAUCCAGGCCUGGAGCAGGCAGGUUGAGGCAGGUUUUAAAAAGCACUUUAUGAGGCUUUCAAAGGUACCCACGGGGAAAGGAAGUGAAAGGAGUUGGGGGGUGGGCGCGGGAGCAGUGAUGCUGGAGGAACAGCAUCUUUAUUUCUAGCCCCGCCUGAGCGGCUUCUUGACAGUUACCACUCUGGUUUUGCUGAGUCAGAAGAACCCCUCAGCUGCUUGCCGGAAACACAGCUGUUAGGCGAAAAUAACCACAGAAGCCAGCAACAUGUACCUUCCAGAAACCGCAAAACAAAAGAGAAAGAUACAAGCACAGACAUUACUGACCAGGCUGGGUGGAGUUCAGGAGCAGCAGCACUGAGGACUCCCGGCAUAAGGGAGGAGUCCUUCCUGGAGAUCUGUCUCUGCCCCAGGCCAGGACCUAGAACUCUGGGGGAGAGCACCGAUUCCCCAGUGACAUGAUGCCUAAGGUGGGACUCUCCCAAAGUUCCCAGUGGAUACCUCUGGAGCAGGUGCCUUACCCCUGAGGCAUCACCCACCCAACUUGGUGUGGUUAUUUUUGAUUCCUGUGUUUGCUUUUGUGUCCAGUUACCCCUGGCUCCCCAUACUCUUAUCUGUUUUUUUUCCCUUCCUUGUUCUUCAGUUUGAAUGAUGCCUGCCAUGGCAUUAAAUGUAUUGAUAUUGUAUCAAUAUGCUAUUAAACUAGUGAAAAUCUUUAAA